Molecule: unclassified non-coding RNA, 287 nt
Filed under: Hevea brasiliensis (rubber tree)
Lineage: Eukaryota; Viridiplantae; Streptophyta; Magnoliopsida; Malpighiales; Euphorbiaceae
Source: RNAcentral
UGCCAUCUCUCCCUCUCCUUUCUUUCUUUACCUCUACCACACUGAACUGCGACGGCGAUAUGGACAAAGCAGUUAGGCAGCGGUUAGACAGCUAGUUAGGGAUCGUUACCUCCUCCUUCGGUUCAAUUGCAACGACCACGCUGAUUGAUUCGAAGUGAUGAACUAAAGCGACGAAUAAGCUUAUGGAAAACGGAAAAGGUGAACCACAAUGGUGGUGAUGGCUUGAGUGCGGUGCGGCUGAAGCAACUGAAGGACUUAGGGUUUGAGGCAGGAAUCGCGAAAUAGAU